AACGAACGCUGGCGGCAUGCCUAACACAUGCAAGUCGAACGGGUGGUAGCAAUACCACCAGUGGCAGACGGGUGCGUAACACGUGGGAACCUGCCCAGAGGUUCGGAAUAGCUGCGGGAAACUGCAGGUAAUACCGAAUGUUGCCUGAGGGCUAAAGGAGCAAUUCGCCUUUGGAGGGCCGCGUCGGAUUAGCUAGUUGGUGGGGUAACGGCGUCACCAAGGCGACGAUCCGUAGCUGGUCUGAGAGGAUGGCCAGCCACACUGGAACUGAGACACGGUCCAGACUCCUACGGGAGGCAGCAGU
Molecule: ribosomal RNA, 304 nt
Filed under: uncultured bacterium
Lineage: Bacteria
Description: bacterial SSU rRNA
Rfam family: Bacterial small subunit ribosomal RNA
Source: RNAcentral